This is a long non-coding RNA of Apis dorsata (giant honeybee), 769 nucleotides long. RefSeq lists it as uncharacterized. NCBI's taxonomy places the organism in Eukaryota, Metazoa, Arthropoda, Insecta, Hymenoptera, Apidae. The transcript is spliced from 3 exons. The record is from RefSeq and is a predicted model, not a curated record.
AAAAAAUUCAAUCAAAAAUUUUUAUACAUCCUCUUUUCGUCUAAUAAUUAUCCACGAGAAAAAUUCUCACAUCUUAUUCUUCUUGAAUUCUAAAGUAUUUCAAAAUGAUACCUUUCCUUAAAUAGAUCAAACAGAGGUUGAAAAUUGUUCGCAUAGAAGUACGUCUAUCGUAUCCUUGUACUAUUUUUAAAUUAGUUUGUCUCGCAAGAAAACGUUACUGCAACGAAGUUGUCUCAAUGUCGAGAAAAAACGUUCGGCAGUCACCGAUCAAGAGACGAGAAAAGAAACAACGAGUUCAAACGAGACUAAACUCGACCUGGAAUACGAAGAAAAGAGAAAAUCGUUGAACAGAGGUAUUUAUUUUCGACCAAUUAGCAUCGACUGUGGCAUCUACUGCCUAGUAAGUUGCAUAACUCGUCGGGGGAACGACGAGACGAGACAAGACGAGACGAAAGAAACGAUCGCAGAAAGAACGCGAGGCUGACUUGGCGAAAGGGGUGGAGAUCGAGACGAAGACGACACCUCGUUUACGUGUGAAACGAUUUUCGUCGAGCAACGUUCCAAGAGAUCUUGAUUUUCGAGUGCAGUCUCUCGAUUGGGACAAAAACGAUUCAGGGAAUGUUUGUGAACUGUUGGCUCGUGAAUACGCGCUUUUAAAAGUUCCCAAAAUCAGGAAUACAUGAAUAUUUUUGAACAGACAAUAGAAAAUUCGUUGGUAAAUGUUUGUAAAUUGUUCCUAAAAUCAGAGAUAAAAGGAUAUUUUUGAAUU